UGCAGUCGAGCGGUAACAGAGAUAGCUUGCUAUCUGCUGACGGGCGGCGGACGGGUGAGUAAUGCUUGGGAAUAUGCCUUUGAGUGGGGGACAACAGUUGGAAACGACUGCUAAUACCGCAUAACGUCUACGGACCAAAGGGGGGGAUCUUCGGACCUCUCGCUCAUUGAUUAGCCCAAGUGAGAUUAGCUAGUUGGUAAGGUAAUGGCUUACCAAGGCGACGAUCUCUAGCUGGUUUGAGAGGAUGAUCAGCCACACUGGGACUGAGACACGGCCCAGACUCCUACGGGAGGCAGCAGUGGGGAAUAUUGCACAAUGGGCGAAAGCCUGAUGCAGCCAUGCCGCGUGUGUGAAGAAGGCCUUCGGGUUGUAAAGCACUUUCAGUUGUGAGGAAAGGGAUGUAGUUAAUAGCUGCAUUCUGUGACGUUAACAACAGAAGAAGCACCGGCUAACUUCGUGCCAGCAGCCGCGGUAAUACGAGGGGUGCAAGCGUUAAUCGGAAUUACUGGGCGUAAAGCGUUCGUAGGCGGUCUAUUAAGCAGGAUGUGAAAGCCCAGGGCUCAACCUUGGAACUGCAUUUUGAACUGGUAGACUAGAGUACUGUAGAGGGUGGUGGAAUUUCCAGUGUAGCGGUGAAAUGCGUAGAGAUUGGAAGGAACAUCAGUGGCGAAGGCGGCCACCUGGACAGAUACUGACGCUGAGGAACGAAAGCGUGGGGAGCGAACAGGAU
RNAcentral lists this ribosomal RNA (730 nucleotides) under uncultured marine bacterium. RNAcentral describes it as "bacterial SSU rRNA". It matches the Rfam family "Bacterial small subunit ribosomal RNA", at positions 56 to 778 of the family's 1533-position model. The record is from RNAcentral.